Molecule: long non-coding RNA, 316 nt
Filed under: Brassica napus (rape)
Lineage: Eukaryota; Viridiplantae; Streptophyta; Magnoliopsida; Brassicales; Brassicaceae
Description: long non-coding RNA (BNAP_LNC018332)
Source: RNAcentral
CAUACUUUUCUGUUCCCUUUUCGUCAUCUGGAUCAUCUUUAUUUGGUUUAUCUUGACCAUUUUCAUCUAUGCCUUCUUUCAGACAUUUUUCAGUAUCAGGUUCUUCUGGAACCUUUCCACUUAUGUCUUCUUUCAGACAUCUUUCAAUAUCAAGUUCUUUUGGAACCUUACCAUUUAUGCCUUCUUUCAGACAUCUUUCAGUAUCAGGUUCUCUUUGAACCUUUCCACUUAUGUCUUCUUUCAGAUAUUUUUCAGUAUCAGGUUCUUUAGGAACCUUGCAACUUUUCUCAACCAAUUUCUUUCGGGGAUUUUUAUC